GGCGGUCGCAUGCAGCUCCUAUGAGGCCCCUGCCGCCGGUCGGCGAUGUCCGGCUGGAGCUGUCGCCUCCGCCGCCGCUGCUGCCGGUGCCGGUUGUGAGCGGGUCUCCAGUCGGCUCCUCCGGGCGUCUCAUGGCCUCUAGCAGCUCCCUGGUGCCCGACCGGCUGCGCCUGCCGCUCUGCUUCCUGGGUGUCUUUGUCUGCUAUUUUUACUAUGGGAUCCUGCAGGAAAAGAUAACAAGAGGAAAGUAUGGGGAAGGAGCCAAGCAGGAGACGUUCACCUUUGCCUUAACUUUGGUCUUCAUUCAAUGUGUGAUCAAUGCUGUGUUUGCCAAGAUCUUGAUCCAGUUUUUUGACACUGCCAGGGUGGAUCGUACCCGGAGCUGGCUCUAUGCUGCCUGUUCUAUCUCCUAUCUGGGUGCCAUGGUCUCCAGCAACUCAGCACUACAGUUUGUCAACUACCCAACUCAGGUGAAACCUCAGGGUGGGACGAUGGUUGGCUCAGAUAUCAUUUGAAAAGGACUAAGAGUUCUUCCCUCAGAUCUGUGAGUUUAAAAAAAAAAAAAAAGAUAACGGUCCUCUAAGACAUUAGGAGUGUAUAGAACCAUAGAACUUAGGUUUAGUGGUGGUGGGUUGGGCCAUGAUAGGGCUGCUUUCUGAGGCUGAGGUCUCUGGUGCAGGCCCUGUGCUUACUCAUCUUAAUCAGUGCGGUACCUAGCAUAGUACCUGACACAUCACAGAUGCUCAGAAAUUAUUUGCUGGAUUUAAUUUCAGGUCCUUGGUAAAUCCUGCAAGCCAAUCCC
Molecule: small RNA, 802 nt
Filed under: Pongo abelii (Sumatran orangutan)
Lineage: Eukaryota; Metazoa; Chordata; Mammalia; Primates; Hominidae
Description: retained intron
Source: RNAcentral